AACGAACGCUGGCGGCAUGCCUAACACAUGCAAGUCGAACGGGACCUUCGGGUCUAGUGGCGCAGGGGUGCGUAAGGCGGGGUAAUCUGCCCUUAGGUGCGCAAUAACGGGCGGAAAGGAGGCGUAAGACCUGAUAAUGUCGUCGGAGCAAAGAGUUAGCGCGUUUGGGUGGGUCCGCGUUGGAUUAGCCGGUUGGGAGGGUAAAAGCCUACGAAGGCGACGAUCCAUAGCUGGUCUGAGAGGAUGAUCAGAGACACUGGGACUGAGACACGGCCCAGACUCCUACGCGAGGCAGCAGUGGCGGAUACUGGAAUACGGGCGACAGCAUGAACCCGCAAUGCCGCGUGACUGAUGAAGGACUUAGGGUUGUAAAGCUCUCUUACACGGGGUGAUAAUGACAGUACCGUGAGAAUAAGCUCCGGCUAACUACGUG
This 433-nucleotide ribosomal RNA is filed under the name uncultured bacterium. Its description in RNAcentral is "partial 16S ribosomal RNA". It matches the Rfam family "Bacterial small subunit ribosomal RNA", at positions 29 to 507 of the family's 1533-position model. The record is from RNAcentral.